CCUACGGGAGGCAGCAGUCGAGAAUCAUUCACAAUGGGGGAAACCCUGAUGGUGCGACGCCGCGUGGGGGAAUGAAGGUCUUCGGAUUGUAAACCCCUGUCAUGUGGGAGCAAAUUAAAAAGAUAGUACCACAAGAGGAAGAGACGGCUAACUCUGUGCCAGCAGCCGCGGUAAUACAGAGGUCUCAAGCGUUGUUCGGAAUCACUGGGCGUAAGGCGUGCGUAGGCUGUUUCGUAAGUCGGGUGUGAAAGGCGCGGGCUCAACCCGCGGACGGCACAUGAUACUGCGAGACUAGAGUAAUGGAGGGGGAACCGGAAUUCUCGGUGUAGCAGUGAAAUGCGUAGAUAUCGAGAGGAACACUCGUGGCGAAGGCGGGUUCCUGGACAUUAACUGACGCUGAGGCACGAAGGCCAGGGGAGCGAAAGGGAUUAGAUACCCGAGUAGUC
RNAcentral lists this ribosomal RNA (446 nucleotides) under uncultured bacterium. Its description in RNAcentral is "partial 16S ribosomal RNA". It matches the Rfam family "Bacterial small subunit ribosomal RNA", at positions 338 to 795 of the family's 1533-position model. The record is from RNAcentral.